UUUUGUUAAUGUUAUCCAUUUGUACUUUUAAAAACUAGUGUGACUGAUAGAAUAAUCAGACACUUGUAUCUCAUGCUGAUGUACAAAGACCAGUUUUUAACAACAAAAAUGGAUGAAAUUGUUAAUA
Gossypium raimondii (Peruvian cotton) is the source of this 127-nucleotide non-coding RNA. Lineage: Eukaryota; Viridiplantae; Streptophyta; Magnoliopsida; Malvales; Malvaceae. The record is from Rfam.